CGAGGGAAGAGAAAAAAAAGUGAGUGCCUCAUAUUUCGUAGCGAAUGUUUCGGAAAUCCACAUUUUCGUGGAGUGAGAGUGGGGUUUUUGCCUUCGUCGUCUGGCUUCGGUUGUUUCUGGCCAUUUUCUGAAGAGAAAAUUAGGGGACCUUAGUAUUCGUGGGCAGUUGCGAUUCGAGCAAAACCCUAAUGACAGAUGCUUCUGAACGAGAAGAAUCUGGAUUGAAUGAGCGAGAGAGAGAGAGAGAGGGGUUUGUGAAAGGGAUUGAGGGAUCGGUUUUGGGCGGUGCAGUCCCACUGCUCUCUCACCACGUCCUCCACUCCGUGUACAUAUAUGGAGAACAUGUACAAAGACCAAUAAACAGCAAUACAUUGAAAUCACUCA
This is a long non-coding RNA of Rhododendron vialii, 384 nucleotides long. RefSeq lists it as uncharacterized. Lineage: Eukaryota; Viridiplantae; Streptophyta; Magnoliopsida; Ericales; Ericaceae. The record is from RefSeq and is a predicted model, not a curated record. The transcript is spliced from 2 exons.